GUAGCUAUGUAUGGACGGGAUAACCGCUGAAAGCAUCUAAGCGGGAAGCCUCCCUUGAGAUUAGGUAUCUUUGAACCGUGAUAGACCAUCACGUUGAUAGGCCGGGUGUGGAAGUGCAGUAAUGUAUGGAGCUAACCGGUCCUAAUAGUUCAUAUCAUGCUUGA
This 164-nucleotide ribosomal RNA is filed under the name Erythrobacter sp. RNAcentral describes it as "partial 23S ribosomal RNA". It matches the Rfam family "Bacterial large subunit ribosomal RNA", at positions 2745 to 2925 of the family's 2925-position model. RNAcentral also lists the same sequence under 1 other name. The record is from RNAcentral. Lineage: Bacteria; Pseudomonadati; Pseudomonadota; Alphaproteobacteria; Sphingomonadales; Erythrobacteraceae.